This 315-nucleotide unclassified non-coding RNA is filed under the name Hevea brasiliensis (rubber tree). The record is from RNAcentral. Lineage: Eukaryota; Viridiplantae; Streptophyta; Magnoliopsida; Malpighiales; Euphorbiaceae.
GUGGAUGUGGUGGCUGACUUUUAAAAAACCAGACAAUUGUCGUCACUGGCUGAUUGUGCAAAGUAAUGUUAUUGGGUUCUCCUGUAGUGCACUUCACUCUACCUUUCUCUUUGGAUUUCUGGGUUUCCAAAGUUGUCACAUUUGACAUCUUCCGGCGAGAUUGCUCUUCCAGAACCGGCGACGCUUAUUUUCCGUCCAGUUGAUUACUCCCAAGAAUUGGAAUUUAAUAUAUUUGAUUUGGGUACAUCUGGGCCGUUGAUGGUCAAAAGUAACAUGUGUCAACGGUCUUAAAGCAAUCAAUUAUUACACUUGAUU